UACGUUUUUAAAGGUAGGAUGUAUGGGAUAUUUGUAGUACACCUUAAUUGGUUUAACUU
Molecule: ribosomal RNA, 59 nt
Filed under: Plasmodium berghei ANKA
Lineage: Eukaryota; Apicomplexa; Aconoidasida; Haemosporida; Plasmodiidae
Description: Plasmodium berghei rRNA PBANKA_MIT02400
Source: RNAcentral